RNAcentral lists this ribosomal RNA (465 nucleotides) under Vreelandella stevensii. Its description in RNAcentral is "partial 16S ribosomal RNA". It matches the Rfam family "Bacterial small subunit ribosomal RNA", at positions 338 to 795 of the family's 1533-position model. The record is from RNAcentral. Lineage: Bacteria; Pseudomonadati; Pseudomonadota; Gammaproteobacteria; Oceanospirillales; Halomonadaceae.
CCUACGGGAGGCUGCAGUGGGGAAUAUUGGACAAUGGGGGCAACCCUGAUCCAGCCAUGCCGCGUGUGUGAAGAAGGCCCUCGGGUUGUAAAGCACUUUCAGUGAGGAAGAACGCCUGGUGGUUAAUACCCAUCAGGAAAGACAUCACUCACAGAAGAAGCACCGGCUAACUCCGUGCCAGCAGCCGCGGUAAUACGGAGGGUGCGAGCGUUAAUCGGAAUUACUGGGCGUAAAGCGCGCGUAGGUGGCUUGAUAAGCCGGUUGUGAAAGCCCCGGGCUCAACCUGGGAACGGCAUCCGGAACUGUCAAGCUAGAGUGCAGGAGAGGAAGGUAGAAUUCCCGGUGUAGCGGUGAAAUGCGUAGAGAUCGGGAGGAAUACCAGUGGCGAAGGCGGCCUUCUGGACUGACACUGACACUGAGGUGCGAAAGCGUGGGUAGCAAACAGGAUUAGAUACCCCGGUAGUC